GGUGAAAUGCGUAGAUAUCUGGAAGAACACCGAUGGCGAAGGCAACCUCCUGGGCCUGUUUUGACGCUGAGGCACGAAAGCGUGGGGAGCAAACAGGAUUAGAUACCCUGGUAGUCCACGCCGUAAACGAUGUCAACUAGCCGUUGGGAGCCUUGAGCUCUUAGUGGCGCAGCUAACGCAUUAAGUUGACCGCCUGGGGAGUACGGCCGCAAGGUUAAAACUCAAAUGAAUUGACGGGGGCCCGCACAAGCGGUGG
RNAcentral lists this ribosomal RNA (256 nucleotides) under Ditylum brightwellii. RNAcentral's name for it is "partial Bacterial small subunit ribosomal RNA". It matches the Rfam family "Bacterial small subunit ribosomal RNA", at positions 680 to 935 of the family's 1533-position model. The record is from RNAcentral. Lineage: Eukaryota; Bacillariophyta; Thalassiosirophyceae; Lithodesmiales; Lithodesmiaceae.